Molecule: ribosomal RNA, 253 nt
Filed under: uncultured bacterium
Lineage: Bacteria
Description: partial 16S ribosomal RNA
Rfam family: Bacterial small subunit ribosomal RNA
Source: RNAcentral
UACGGAGGGAGCUAGCGUUGUUCGGAAUUACUGGGCGUAAAGCGCGCGUAGGCGGCUUUUUAAGUCAGAGGUGAAAGCCCGGGGCUCAACCCCGGAAUAGCCUUUGAAACUGGAAAGCUAGAAUCUUGGAGAGGUCAGUGGAAUUCCGAGUGUAGAGGUGAAAUUCGUAGAUAUUCGGAAGAACACCAGUGGCGAAGGCGACUGACUGGACAAGUAUUGACGCUGAGGUGCGAAAGCGUGGGGAGCAAACAGG